GACCUUCAUCCUUCACCCUCCUCCUCCUCUUCGUCCUCCUACUCCUGGUUUACUACUUGUAGAACAACCUGGUGAUCGACACGCCCCGGGUGCGCAAGCAGACGCGCCACUUCAGCACCUUGCGCGACGACGACCUGGUGGAAUUCUCCGACCUGGAGAGCGAGGACGAGGAGCGGCCCCGCUCGCGGCGCCACCACCACCCCCCCCACCACCACCCCCACCACCACCACCACCCCCUCCACCACCCCUACGGCCGCACCGACUGCUUCCGCGUGGAGAAGCACCUCCUGGUCUACGGCUGGGGUCGGUGGAGGGAGAUCCUCUCCCACGGGCGCUUCAAGCGGCGCCUUUCGGAGCGCGACGUGGAGAACAUCUGCCGCGCCAUCCUGGUCUACUGCCUCCUCCACUACCGGGGCGACGAAAACAUCAAGGGCUUCAUUUGGGACCUCAUCAGCCCCAACGAGAACGGCAAGGCCAAGGAGCUCCAAAAUCACUCGGGGCUCUCCAUCCCCGUCCCGCGGGGUCGCAAGGGGAAGAAGGCGAAGGCUCCGAGCGCCUUGGACGUGCAGAAGGCCGAGUGGAUCCGCAAGUGCAACCCCGACGCGCUCUUCCAGGACGAGGGUUACAAGAAGCACCUCAAGCACCAGUGCAACAAGGUGCUGCUGCGGGUGCGGAUGCUCUACUACCUGCGGCAGGAGGUCAUCGGCGACCAGGCGGAGAAGGUGCUGGCGGGGGCCAUGGCCAGCGAGAUCGACAUCUGGUUCCCCUUGGUGGAGCAGCUGGAGGUGCCGACCGCCUGGUGGGACGCCGAGGCCGACAAAUCCCUCCUCAUCGGCGUCUUCAAGCACGGUUAUGAGAAAUACAACACCAUGCGCGCCGACCCCGCGCUCUGCUUCCUGGAGAAGGCCGGCCGCCCCGACGACAAGGCCAUCGCCGCCGAGCAGCGCCUGGAUAUCGGGGAAGGGUGAGCCCAAAAUCCCCAAAUUUGACCCCAAAACUCAGGCGGUGUCCCCAAGAUCCCAACGGUUUCACCCAAAAUCCAAUGGUGUUCCUAAAAACCCAACGGUGUCCUCAAAAACCCAACGGUGUCCCCAAAACCUCAACAGAUAUCUCAAAGAUGUACCCAAAUCCCCAAAUUUAACCCCAAAACCUCAACUUUGACCCCAAAACCCUGACAGUGUCCCCAAGAUCUCAAUGAUUUCCCCAAAAACCCAACGGUGGUCCUAAAAACCCAAUGAUGUGCUCAAAAACGCAACAGUGUCUUCAAGACCCCAACGAUGUCUCCAAAAACCCAACGAUGUCUUCAAGACCCCAACUUUGACCCCAAAAUCCCCAA
This 1336-nucleotide long non-coding RNA is filed under the name Anas platyrhynchos platyrhynchos (common mallard). RNAcentral's name for it is "lncRNA (ENSAPLG00000028785.1)". The record is from RNAcentral. Lineage: Eukaryota; Metazoa; Chordata; Aves; Anseriformes; Anatidae.